GUAAUGCUAGAAAGUCUUACAUUGUGAAACGGAGGAAGUAACAUCUGUAGAAUUUUCAUCAGAAUACUACCUGUGUGGCUGUGAUAUCAAUUUUCUGUAAUUGAAUUCCUUGUGCUGUUGAACCGUUGAGAACUCCGCAUAUUAAACCCUGUAUUUCUCCCUAGCAAAUCUUAUUAGAGAUACUGAUUCCUACAGUACUCUCAUUGAUCUUUGUUGGCUGUAGGCUACCAGUAAUGGCAUGUGAAGCUCGGUUCAUCAAGAAAGCGAGAGGUUUUGUCGUCGUGGUGAUUCCAUCUGUUCCUUGGUAAUUGUGCCAGAUGUUCCCUGCACAUCAAGUCCUGGAAAGCCUGGGGCAUAUCUGUUUUCGACAUAAAAGGUCCAAGUGCUGUUACUAGCUUUGUCCGUCUUUCAGCAAUGGUAAAAGUUGGAGAUAUGUUUUCGACAUAAAUAAAUAAUCACCGUUGCAUACUGUCAGUUCAUCAGGUAAAUGUAGUGUCCGUGGAUAAUGCGGACUAGAGAUGAUUGCUUGUGACCUUGUCAUACACUAAAGUUGUGAAUUGAUAGAAGUCACAGAGCUGUCUAAGUUCAUCAAGUAAAUGCAGUGUUAGUGGAUAAUAAAUGUCAGAUCUGAUUGACACUAAAGUUGCAAACUAGGAGUAUCUUAGUUCAUCAGGUAAAUUAUAUGUCAGUCGAUUACAAGUAUACAAGUUAGAGCUGAUUGACACUAAAGUGGUAAACUGUCUUUUCAUCAGGUAAAUGUUGUGUUGGUGGAUAAUACAAGUCAGAGCUGAUUGACACUAAAGCUGCAAACUAUUGACACUAAAGCUGCAAACUAUCUUAGUUCAUCAGGUAAAUAAUAUGUCUGUCGAUUACAAGUAUACAAGUUAGAGCUGAUUGACACUAAAGUUGUAAACUGUCUUUUCAUCAGGUAAAUGCUGUGUUGGUGGAUAAUACAAGUCAGAGUUGAUUGACAUGAAAGUUGCACACUGUCUUAGUUCAUUAGGUGAAUGAACUGCAAGGUGAAAUGGCAAGUGAUCAAGUAUCAACGUUUGCUCCUUAAGUCAUCACAUACGAGGUAAUGGAUUUGUACGAAUAGAAACAAAACAGGAAGAUACUGUAAUGGGAGUACGGGACUAUUUAGUUGUUCAGGCAUUCCGAUACCCAGUAUAUGAAGGCAGGAGCCAGGGACAACAUGAUAUGGUUGCCACUAAGGACAGAUGAAUCUGGCACACAGACACAGUGGUCUACUACCGAUUAUUGCAUCUUGUGUAGACAUGUUUCAGGACUAAAGCCACCUCUCUCUCUUCCUACGGGUCUCUCCCUCUUUACAAACUGCAGUGCAUGUGCAUGGAAAAGUUUUCGGUGGUUACCCUGGGGGAAUAUGGUCUCUAAUUGUCCACAUAACAACAGAGCAGUGCACAGUGUGUGUCAGCAGGAAAUGCGGCAGCCAACCAUCAAGCACACCAUGGACUCUGGGGAAUCCAGUUCUUUCAAAGAUGGAUUCAGUAUUUGAAAUCUUUUUAGUUACAGUGAUGGCAUUUGGUCUUGAGUACUGAAAACUGGCCGUAUCAUCCUCCAAAAAGAACAAGAACGGGUCGAACUACCAAUGCUGAUUUGUUUUCUAGCUGAAACCAAGAUUAAGAUCCUGAAUCCUGAGUUUUUUUUCGAUCAGUUUAUAAGUGGGGUAAGAAAGUCUUCAUGUUAGCUGAUUAUCCGUUAAUCAAGGCGUCCUUAUUAUGUUGAGUUUAACUGUUUAAGUAAGCAGUUCAGCUGCAGAUUUUUCCUCUUAGUGGUAAACCUGUUUG
Molecule: non-coding RNA, 1805 nt
Organism: Oryza sativa Japonica Group (Japanese rice)
Lineage: Eukaryota; Viridiplantae; Streptophyta; Magnoliopsida; Poales; Poaceae
Source: RefSeq, a predicted model, not a curated record